UAGGGAAUCUUCCACAAUGGACGCAAGUCUGAUGGAGCAACGCCGCGUGAGUGAAGAAGGUUUUCGGAUCGUAAAGCUCUGUUGUUGGUGAAGAAGGAUAGAGGCAGUAACUGGUCUUUAUUUGACGGUAAUCAACCAGAAAGUCACGGCUAACUACGUGCCAGCAGCCGCGGUAAUACGUAGGUGGCAAGCGUUGUCCGGAUUUAUUGGGCGUAAAGCGAGCGCAGGCGGAAUGAUAAGUCUGAUGUGAAAGCCCACGGCUCAACCGUGGAACUGCAUCGGAAACUGUCAUUCUUGAGUGCAGAAGAGGAGAGUGGAACUCCAUGUGUAGCGGUGGAAUGCGUAGAUAUAUGGAAGAACACCAGUGGCGAAGGCGGCUCUCUGGUCUGCAACUGACGCUGAGGCUCGAAAGCAUGGGUAGCGAACAGGAUUAGAUACCCUGGUAGUCCAUGCCGUAAACGAUGAGCGCUAGGUGUUGGGGACUUUCCGGUUCUCAGUGCCGCAGCAAACGCAUUAAGCGCUCCGCCUGGGGAGUACGACCGCAAGGUUGAA
This 552-nucleotide ribosomal RNA is filed under the name uncultured bacterium. Its description in RNAcentral is "partial 16S ribosomal RNA". It matches the Rfam family "Bacterial small subunit ribosomal RNA", at positions 355 to 898 of the family's 1533-position model. The record is from RNAcentral.